This 960-nucleotide long non-coding RNA is filed under the name Capra hircus (goat). RNAcentral's name for it is "lncRNA (ENSCHIG00000007664.1)". Lineage: Eukaryota; Metazoa; Chordata; Mammalia; Artiodactyla; Bovidae. The record is from RNAcentral.
AUUCAUUACCACCAUCACGAUAGCUACUUUGAAUGACUUGUCUCGAAUAGUGAUGACCUCUGUCCUUCAAGCCACAUUCCAGCCCACUUCCUGCUGUGAUCCACUACCCACGUUUAUGACUUGCUUGGGCAGACCAUGGACCCAGAAUCAGCGGCUGCUGGGAAAGAAAAUUGCAAACACACACAGAACUCAAGUGGCUCAGUGGAUGGAGAACCCGCCUGCAAAUCAAGAGAUGCCGGAGCUGCGGGUUCGAUCGCCGGGUCGGGAAGCUUCCCUGGAGAGGGGCGUGGCAACCCACUCCAGUGUUCUUGCCUGGAGAUUCCCAUGGACAGAGCAUCCUGCUGGGCUACAGUCCACGUGGUCACAAACAGUUAAACACGACUGAGGUGACUUGGCACACACGCAGUUUCAACACAUGGAUACAGUCGUCGGCUAUCACUCUGUCUGCCGAAUGUUAACUGAAGGUCAUUACCACGCAGUGAGGCUGGACACUGGGAUACAACACAUAAAGGCUGAAAAGGAAGAAGUGAGGUGAAGUUGCUUAGUCGUGUCUGACUCUUUGCAACCCCAUGGACUGCAGCCCACCAGGCUCCUCCAUCCAUGGAAUUCUCCAGGCAAGAGUACCGGAGUGGGUUGCCAUUUCCUUCUCCAGAAAAGGAAGAAAGAAACUGUUAUUUUGGGGUUUUGCUGAUAACAAAUGUCUCUAUGGAAAUUCCAGAAACUCUACAGGUAAACUCUGGGAACUCAUAAAAGCAUUUGGAAAAGUUGUCAGAUACUGAUCAAUAUACAGAAAUCAACAGUGCUCUUCAACAGCACUACCAACUGAUUGACAACGUGAAUUUAAGAAAGACGGCAUUUACGUAUUACCCCAAACUGUAAGGCUAUCAGGAAUACAACUCCAAAACAUAUGACAUUGUCAUGGAGAACAUGAAAAACUUUACUAUAAGACGUAAAGGAAGG